Molecule: long non-coding RNA, 1811 nt
Organism: Pezoporus occidentalis (night parrot)
Lineage: Eukaryota; Metazoa; Chordata; Aves; Psittaciformes; Psittacidae
Exons: 2
Source: RefSeq, a predicted model, not a curated record
UUCACAGUUUGACCCUCCAGUUUAGGCUGUAGAUAUAGGACAAGCUGCAGUUCUGUUACAUCAGAGAGGGAAAGGAGAGAGACAACUAUAAAGCUUUUCCAUUUAUUUUCUGUUCUAAGAACUUUAACUUAACAAUUCUCGUGGUAUUAGGCCAGAGCUGUCUCUAACAUUUGUGGUCUUCUCUGAGGGCACACAGGGAGAACAUUGUUCAGCAUAAGCACUGGUCUUUUUUUCUUUGUAUCCCUUUUAUAGCAGAGCUUACCUGCCACAAACCUGCGGGAUAAUGUUCACGGUACCUUCAGCAGCUUUCAUGGAAGCUGCUUUUUGAGAAGAUGGGGUACUGAUGGAGACGGCAGAGGGUCCUUGCUGCCACUGACGACCCUGAAGGCUGUGUGAUGGUAGCUGUGGCUAGGAACCCCCAGCUCCAUACACUCUGGUACCCUUGCAGCAACAUGUCAUGGGGCCAAGUCAUGGUGCUGACAAGUGCUGCAGAGCUGGGGAACCCCCAUGGCAAAGCAACAAUCUCCCCUUGCUCCUGUGCAAAGGACUUGCUGGCUUCUCCCCUCCUUCUGCCCACGCUGACUGGAUUGGGAGCAGACCAAGCGACCAGAAUGCUCCUUGAACAGCUGCAAAUCCAGAAAGGGAUUCUUGUUCCUGUGUUAAAUAUAAGCCUGGAAGAGUCACCGGUGUGACUGCAUCCGAAGCACAGCUCCACUGCUAGACAAGAGGCGAGCGGCUCUGAGUCACUCCCUGGGAGCAGGCUGGGGCUGUCAGGAUGGUGUCUGGGCCAGGGGCAUGUGUUGGCUUGCUCUCCCCAAGGCCCUGCACCCGGGCUGGCACCUUAACAGCUGGGUGAUGAGGCAGAGCUGGGCUUCUUGUGAAACAUACCGAUGCUCCGCACUUGCCAAAACAGCUAUUUGGGAGCAGCUCGAUGUGCUCUUCAUCCCCUGCUGGCCCUGGCCUCAGCGUGGUUACAUCCAGUAAAUGCAGCACAGGAUGGGGAGAGAAACUUCUGUAUUAGCUUCCUUCUCAAGCCUGGAGCAGGGGCCACAAAGGUACCAGUGAAUGAAAUCCAUCUGUCUAUGUAACCACACAUGACUCUGACCCUUUCAAACACUGGUUUCAGCUUUGCAAACAAGCACAUCCCUUCUGUUGUAUGUGCUAUCACAAGCAGCACCUCUUUGUAGGGAAGGUGCGCUGCCAUAAGCAGCAGUGAGAGCUGAGCUGCCAAAACCCCUGCCUAUACCAGAUCCUCCCCUGGCAGAGAGGCUUCAUGUCCUAAAUGCCCCUUUUCAACCAGAGCUCAGUGUUGUUGCGUCUGCCUGUGAUGUUCAGCUGAGACCCCUCAGCAGUAGGGGGUAGAUUUUGAUCCUUCCCUUUGAUCACUUCUUGAGUGUAUCAAUUUAAGCCCCUUCCAGCUUUCCCAGAACAAACAACAAACUUUGUGGUCCCUUGGGAAAAGAAAUGUGGUUUUUUUCUCUGUGGAUGUGUUUUCUCUCUUCUCAGAUGUGAAUCAAACCAAACCCAGGGGUAUUCCUAAAGCAGAGCCCAGCUGGUUUGUAGAGCUGGUAGUAUGUUAUGGACCCCACUUGUGAAGCAUCUGAGACUGGCAGUUGAAAACUGAGAAAAAUGGGGAAGAUUUGGCUACAUAAUACAACAGAAGAUAGUUUUUAUUGCCAUGGUUUUAAUGGAAUUGCAGUAGGAUUUUUAUAUGAGUCUCUGAAAGUCUGUGACUUCAAAUAACUCUGAACCUCCAGAUUUGUACUCUCACCUUGUUCUUGUUUAAAUAGAUGUUACCAUCACCUGCUUGA